UGGUGUAGCGGUGAAAUGCAUAGAUAUCACGCAGAACCCCGAUUGNGAAGGCAGCCUGCUAGGGUGAAACAGACGGUGAGGCACGAAAGCGUGGGUAUCGAACAGGAUUAGAUACCGUGGUAGUCCACGCAGUAAACGAUGAAUACUAACUGUUUGCGAUACAAUGUAAGCGGUACAGCGAAAGCGUUAAGUAUUCCACCUGGGGAGUACGCCGGCAACGGUGCAACUCAAAGGAAUUGACGGCGCGCCGCGCACCACGCCC
RNAcentral lists this ribosomal RNA (262 nucleotides) under uncultured bacterium. RNAcentral describes it as "partial 16S ribosomal RNA". It matches the Rfam family "Bacterial small subunit ribosomal RNA", at positions 671 to 935 of the family's 1533-position model. The record is from RNAcentral.